Molecule: ribosomal RNA, 466 nt
Filed under: uncultured bacterium
Lineage: Bacteria
Description: partial 16S ribosomal RNA
Rfam family: Bacterial small subunit ribosomal RNA
Source: RNAcentral
GAUGAACGCUGGCGGCGUGCUUAACACAUGCAAGUCGAACGAUGAAGCCCAGCUUGCUGGGUGGAUUAGUGGCGAACGGGUGAGUAACACGUGAGUAACCUGCCCUUAACUCUGGGAUAAGCCUGGGAAACUGGGUCUAAUACCGGAUAGGAGCGUCCACCGCAUGGUGGGUGUUGGAAAGAUUUAUCGGUUUUGGAUGGACUCGCGGCCUAUCAGCUUGUUGGUGAGGUAAUGGCUCACCUAGGCGACGACGGGUAGCCGGCCUGAGAGGGUGACCGGCCACACUGGGACUGAGACACGGCCCAGACUCCUACGGGAGGCAGCAGUGGGGAAUAUUGCACAAUGGGCGCAAGCCUGAUGCAGCGACGCCGCGUGAGGGAUGACGGCCUUCGGGUUGUAAACCUCUUUCAGUAGGGAAGAAGCGAAAGUGACGGUACCUGCAGAAGAAGCACCGGCUAACUACGUG